This 253-nucleotide ribosomal RNA is filed under the name uncultured bacterium. RNAcentral's name for it is "partial 16S ribosomal RNA". It matches the Rfam family "Bacterial small subunit ribosomal RNA", at positions 524 to 776 of the family's 1533-position model. The record is from RNAcentral.
UACGUAGGGGGCAAGCGUUGUCCGGAAUCAUUGGGCGUAAAGAGCGUGUAGGCGGCCCGGUAAGUCCGCUGUGAAAGUCCAGGACUCAACCCUGGGAUGCCGGUGGAUACUGCUGGGCUAGAGUACGGAAGAGGCGAGUGGAAUUCCCGGUGUAGCGGUGAAAUGCGCAGAUAUCGGGAGGAACACCAAUUGCGAAGGCAGCUCGCUGGGACGUCACUGACGCUGAGACGCGAAAGCGUGGGGAGCAAACAGG